This 56-nucleotide transfer RNA is filed under the name Ligilactobacillus hayakitensis DSM 18933 = JCM 14209. RNAcentral's name for it is "Lactobacillus hayakitensis DSM 18933 = JCM 14209 tRNA". It matches the Rfam family "tRNA", at positions 17 to 71 of the family's 71-position model. From Rfam's summary of the family: Transfer RNA (tRNA) molecules are approximately 80 nucleotides in length. Their secondary structure includes four short double-helical elements and three loops (D, anti-codon, and T loops). The record is from Rfam by way of RNAcentral. Lineage: Bacteria; Bacillati; Bacillota; Bacilli; Lactobacillales; Lactobacillaceae.
GGUUAAGACACCGCCCUUUCACGGCGGUAACAUGGGUUCAAAUCCCGUACGGGUCA